AUCCUCAGCUGACAUGGAUACAUUUUUUAAGAGCAAACAUGUGCCUGGAGGCAAAACCACUUAGGAAAUAAAACAUCCGCUGAUCGCGCUGGGGAAUACCUGAGACUCUUGUAUGAGGAAGGGGGUUAACUGGUUUGCAGACCAUGCAUGUCGUUUCUGAAGAAACUAUCAGAGCCCUGUUUCCUCUACUUCAAUGGGAAAGCACAACUUUAAACAUCUGACACACAGUCCUGAGAAAAUGGAGAAUUUUAAGUUUCUAGUUGCAGUUGUUCACUUUCAAAGUAGUUAAAAACUGCAAAACGCCAGUAUUUAUUUGAUCAUUUAUUUUACUUUUCUACCUGCUGACAGUGGCCUCACAAUUUUGUUUUUGGAAUUAAUAAAAGUUAACGCCAAUUGUAUCAUAUUUGCUACAUGAGUUUCUGAGACGUCUACGUCGUCAACAUGAUCAAUACUUUCCUGAAAAACCAAUCUGACACAUGUCUUCUGCCCUCUGGUGGAUCAUCUGUGCACUGCAGGCUGUAGCGGGCCUUUGAAUGCCAUAUCCAAAAUGUCUGGUUUCAUGUAGCGACUCACAAGUUUUUGGCAGGGAAAUCUUUGCUAAUUUUGAAAAAGUUACGGGUCGUGGUGAGCUGGAGCCUAACCCAGCAUAUACAGGGCACAAGACGAGACUACACCCUGGACAGGAUGCCAGUCCAUCACAGGGCACAACACACACACACACUCAGGGCAAUUUAGAGUGACCAAUCAACCUGGACAGCAUGUCUUUGGAACUUGGGAGGAAACCCACGCGAACACGGGGAGAACAUGCAAACUCCACACAGACAGUACCCUAGGCCGGAUUCGAGCCUAGGACCCUAGCGCUGUGAGGCAGCAGCGCUAACCACUACGCCACCGUGCCACCCCUGCUUAAUAAUAAUAAUAAUAAUAAUAAACAACUUAGCUGACACCUUUA
Molecule: long non-coding RNA, 952 nt
Organism: Acipenser ruthenus (sterlet)
Lineage: Eukaryota; Metazoa; Chordata; Actinopteri; Acipenseriformes; Acipenseridae
Exons: 2
Source: RefSeq, a predicted model, not a curated record